Molecule: ribosomal RNA, 116 nt
Filed under: Neomoorella thermoacetica
Lineage: Bacteria; Bacillati; Bacillota; Clostridia; Neomoorellales; Neomoorellaceae
Source: RNAcentral
UCUGGUGGUAAUAGCGGAGGGGAAACACCCGUUCCCAUCCCGAACACGGCAGUUAAGCCCUCCAGCGCCGAUGGUACUGGGGAGUAUUCCCCGGGAGAGUAGGACACCGCCAGGAA